GUGCCAGCCGCCGCGGUAAUACGUAGGUGGCGAGCGUUGUCCGGAAUUACUGGGCGUAAAGGGCGUGUAGGCGGCUGGGUAAGUCAGGUGUGAAAACUCUUGGCUCAACCAAGAGACUGCACCUGAAACUGCCUAGCUUGAGGGUAGGAGAGGAAAGUGGAAUUCCUAGUGUAGCGGUGAAAUGCGUAGAUAUUAGGAGGAACACCAGUGGCGAAGGCGACUUUCUGGCCUAACCCUGACGCUGAGGCGCGAAAGCGUGGGGAGCAAACAGGAUUAGAUACCCUGGUAGUCCACGCCGUAAACGAUGGGUACUAGGUGUAGGAGGUAUCGACCCCUUCUGUGCCGCAGCAAACGCAUUAAGUACCCCGCCUGGGGAGUACGGCCGCAAGGCUGAAACUUAAAUGAAUUGACGG
Molecule: ribosomal RNA, 413 nt
Filed under: uncultured bacterium
Lineage: Bacteria
Description: bacterial SSU rRNA
Rfam family: Bacterial small subunit ribosomal RNA
Source: RNAcentral